AGAUCGGUGAUAGAUGUACGGUUCAUUUUUGUUGUGGUAAGGGUUAAGAAUAGCAUAUAUCUUAUGUAAAAAUUUGAAAUAAAUUGAACGGUUGGAUUGAGAUAUAUGAGAUCUUAAAGUUUGAUGUAAAAAGGUCUUUGCGGGAAGAAAAAUGUUUUGAAGGAUUUUAAUAUAUUUUGAGUUUUUAUACAAAACAAAGAGGAUUUU
This 207-nucleotide long non-coding RNA is filed under the name Physcomitrium patens. RNAcentral describes it as "long non-coding RNA (PPAT_LNC002021)". The record is from RNAcentral. Lineage: Eukaryota; Viridiplantae; Streptophyta; Bryopsida; Funariales; Funariaceae.